UACGGGGGGGGCAAGCGUUGUUCGGAUUUACUGGGCGUAAAGGGCUCGUAGGCGGCCAAUUAAGUCAGACGUGAAAUCCCUCGGCUUAACCGGGGAACUGCAUCUGAUACUGGAUGGCUUGAGUUCGGGAGAGGGAUGCGGAAUUCCAGGUGUAGCGGUGAAAUGCGUAGAUAUCUGGAGGAACACCGGUGGCGAAGGCGGCAUCCUGGACCGAAACUGACGCUGAGGCGCGAAAGCCAGGGGAGCAAACGGG
RNAcentral lists this ribosomal RNA (253 nucleotides) under uncultured bacterium. Its description in RNAcentral is "partial 16S ribosomal RNA". It matches the Rfam family "Bacterial small subunit ribosomal RNA", at positions 524 to 776 of the family's 1533-position model. The record is from RNAcentral.